Molecule: long non-coding RNA, 699 nt
Filed under: Hordeum vulgare
Lineage: Eukaryota; Viridiplantae; Streptophyta; Magnoliopsida; Poales; Poaceae
Description: long non-coding RNA (HVUL_LNC015500)
Source: RNAcentral
GCCAUAGUAGGUAGGUAUGGUGGCUGUUUUGAGGAUGGCAUAUGGUGGGUUUGUGCACCGGCGAGAAUUGCGCGGUACUAGAGAGGCUAGCAAUGGUGGAAGGUGAAAGAGCAUAUAGACCAUGGACUCGCAUUAGUCAUGAAGAACUCACAUACUUGUUGCGAAUUCACAACACCCUACUAACAUAACUCUUAAUAUUACCAAAUUCACGUCUCAAAACUAAUUGAGAUCAAUCAAAACUUCUCUUUCUCCUCAAUGCACAUGCUGAUGGAGGUUUUUGUAUCCUCUUUGGAUACCUAUCACCUUUGGGACUACUUUCAUAGCAUAAUCCAACUACCAAGUCACGCACCGCCGUGCUCUAAAAGAUCUAAGUGAAGCGCAUAGAGCAAAAUUAUCUAGCUCAAAAGAUAUAAGUGAAGCACGAUGAGCAUUCUAGCAAAAUCACGAUGAGUCCAUGUCUCUCUCUAAAGAUGUGCAGCAAGGAUGAUUGUGACACAACAAAAAUAAAAGACUCCUAGGAUACAAGACGCUCCAAGCUAAACACAUAUCGUCUGGUGAAUAAAAAUAUAGCUCCAAGUAAUGUGACCGAUGGAUUGAAGACGAAAGAGGGGAUGCCUUCCCGGGGCAUCCUUAAACUUAGGCUUUUUGGUGUCCUUGAAUUUGGCUUGGGAUGCCUUGGGCAUCCCCAAGCUUGAGCUC